AGUGAACGCUGGCGGUAGGCCUAACACAUGCAAGUCGAACGGCAGCACAGUAAGAGCUUGCUCUUACGGGUGGCGAGUGGCAGACGGGUGAGGAAUACAUCGGAAUCUACUUUUUCGUGGGGGAUAACGUAGGGAAACUUACGCUAAUACCGCAUACGACCUACGGGUGAAAGCAGGGGAUCUUCGGACCUUGCGCGAUUGAAUGAGCCGAUGUCGGAUUAGCUAGUUGGCGGGGUAAAGGCCCACCAAGGCGACGAUCCGUAGCUGGUCUGAGAGGAUGAUCAGCCACACUGGAACUGAGACACGGUCCAGACUCCUACGGGAGGCAGCAGUGGGGAAUAUUGGACAAUGGGCGCAAGCCUGAUCCAGCCAUACCGCGUGGGUGAAGAAGGCCUUCGGGUUGUAAAGCCCUUUUGUUGGGAAAGAAAAGCAGCAGGUUAAUACCCCGCUGUUCUGACGGUACCCAAAGAAUAAGCACCGGCUAACUUCGGGC
RNAcentral lists this ribosomal RNA (493 nucleotides) under uncultured bacterium. RNAcentral describes it as "partial 16S ribosomal RNA". It matches the Rfam family "Bacterial small subunit ribosomal RNA", at positions 29 to 508 of the family's 1533-position model. The record is from RNAcentral.